RNAcentral lists this ribosomal RNA (549 nucleotides) under uncultured bacterium. RNAcentral describes it as "bacterial SSU rRNA". It matches the Rfam family "Bacterial small subunit ribosomal RNA", at positions 355 to 896 of the family's 1533-position model. The record is from RNAcentral.
UGGGGAAUAUUGCGCAAUGGGGGGAACCCUGACGCAGCCAUGCCGCGUGAAUGAAGAAGGCCUUAGGGUUGUAAAGUUCUUUCGGUAUUGAGGAAGGUUGAUGUGUUAAUAGCACAUCAAAUUGACGUUAAAUACAGAAGAAGCACCGGCUAACUCCGUGCCAGCAGCCGCGGUAAUACGGAGGGUGCGAGCGUUAAUCGGAAUAACUGGGCGUAAAGGGCACGCAGGCGGUUAUUUAAGUGAGGUGUGAAAGCCCCGGGCUUAACCUGGGAAUUGCAUUUCAGACUGGGUAACUAGAGUACUUUAGGGAGGGGUAGAAUUCCACGUGUAGCGGUGAAAUGCGUAGAGAUGUGGAGGAAUACCGAAGGCGAAGGCAGCCCCUUGGGAAUGUACUGACGCUCAUGUGCGAAAGCGUGGGGUGGCCACACAGGAUUAGAUCCCGUGGUAGUCCACGCUGUAAACGCUGUCGAUUUGGGGGUUGGGGUUUAACUCUGGCGCCCGUAGCUAACGUGAUAAAUCGACCGCCUGGGGAGUACGGCCGCAAGGUUA